This 78-nucleotide microRNA precursor is filed under the name Haemonchus contortus (barber pole worm). RNAcentral describes it as "microRNA hco-mir-55 precursor". Its record names the gene hco-mir-55. Lineage: Eukaryota; Metazoa; Nematoda; Chromadorea; Rhabditida; Trichostrongylidae. The record is from miRBase by way of RNAcentral.
ACGGUACGUUGCGGCAGGGGGUAUGCGAGUGUCCGAGCCGGGGAUACCCGUAUAAGCCGUCUGCCGGCACAGAAGAAG